GCCGCCGUAGCUCAGGGGAAGAGCAUCUGAUUCGUAAUCAGAAGGUCGCGGGUUCGACCCCCGCCGGCGGCU
This 72-nucleotide transfer RNA is filed under the name Thermoplasmatales archaeon. RNAcentral describes it as "tRNA-Thr". It matches the Rfam family "tRNA". From Rfam's summary of the family: Transfer RNA (tRNA) molecules are approximately 80 nucleotides in length. Their secondary structure includes four short double-helical elements and three loops (D, anti-codon, and T loops). The record is from RNAcentral. Lineage: Archaea; Methanobacteriati; Thermoplasmatota; Thermoplasmata; Thermoplasmatales.